UACGGGGGGAGCAAGCGUUGUUCGGAUUUACUGGGCGUAAAGGGCGCGUAGGCGGCCACCGCAAGUCAAUUGUGAAAUCUCCGGGCUCAACCCGGAACGGUCAACUGAUACUGCGGGGCUAGAGUGCAGAAGGGGCAACUGGAAUUCUCGGUGUAGCGGUGAAAUGCGUAGAUAUCGAGAGGAACACCUGCGGCGAAGGCGGGUAGCUGGGCCGACACUGACGCUGAGGCGCGAAAGCCAGGGGAGCGAACGGG
RNAcentral lists this ribosomal RNA (254 nucleotides) under uncultured bacterium. Its description in RNAcentral is "partial 16S ribosomal RNA". It matches the Rfam family "Bacterial small subunit ribosomal RNA", at positions 524 to 776 of the family's 1533-position model. The record is from RNAcentral.